GCCGGUGUGGCGGAAUGGCAUACGCUAAUGACUCAAAAUCAUUUGAGCUUUACGCUCGUGUGGGUUCGACUCCCACCACCGGCACCA
RNAcentral lists this transfer RNA (87 nucleotides) under Patescibacteria group bacterium. Its description in RNAcentral is "tRNA-Leu". It matches the Rfam family "tRNA". From Rfam's summary of the family: Transfer RNA (tRNA) molecules are approximately 80 nucleotides in length. The record is from RNAcentral.